RNAcentral lists this ribosomal RNA (371 nucleotides) under uncultured delta proteobacterium. RNAcentral's name for it is "bacterial SSU rRNA". It matches the Rfam family "Bacterial small subunit ribosomal RNA", at positions 169 to 523 of the family's 1533-position model. The record is from RNAcentral. Lineage: Bacteria; Deltaproteobacteria.
CCGCAUAAGUUCUUCGGGACUCCGGUCCUGGAGAGGAAAGCUAGGUAGCAAUAUCCGGCACUCGAUGAGGAGCCUACGUCGCAUCAGCUAGUUGGUGGGGUAACGGCCUACCAAGGCGAAGACGCGUAGCUGGUCUGAGAGGAUGAUCAGCCACACUGGGACUGAGACACGGCCCAGACUCCUACGGGAGCAGCAGUGGGGAAUAUUGGACAAUGGGCGCAAGCCUGAUCCAGCCACGCCGCGUGAGUGAUGAAGGCCUUCGGGUCGUAAAGCUCUGUGGGGAGGGACGAACCGCUGGAUAUUAAUACCAUCCAGCAUGACGGUACCUCCUUAGCAAGCACCGGCUAACUUCGUGCCAGCAGCCGCGGUAA